UACUCCUUUUUUGGGCCUUUUUCAAGAUUGUUUGGGUGGGACACUACUCACACCUUCCACAUUACUGGUAGGGAGCUAACCCUAACUCCUUUCGACUUCCAUCGGCUAACGACUUCCACCUUCCACAUUACUGGUAAGGCAUGCUUUUGGGAGAGCUCUUGCUGUGAAGCUAGUGGGACGUUCUUACCAAAACGAGACCGGCUGAUACUAUGUUCUUGCUAGGGAGUUUGAUUCCCAGUCCCAAGCGACACUUGAGGAUCGAGCUUGAAUGACCAGGGCUUUCUUGUUCUAUGUGAUUUAGGCCACUCUCUUUGGCAAUGGUGGUCAGACAAUCGUGCUCUGAUGGUUGGAAGUUUUUAGGGACUUCAAUGCAGCUAAGGAGGUCAACUAGGGCAGUGCUUGUCUAUCUUACAUGUACUCCAUCAUGGAUGCCAUGAGCCAGGAGGUUUACUUUCAGCUUGUAGGUCACUAGAGGCUAUGGGAACAAUGGGCUGUCUCUUAUGGACUCAUCUACUAGGGGGCUGAUGUGAUCUGAGGGACUUUCGCUCUGUAAGGGCUCAUCUAGAUGGGAUUGUGGCUGAUCAGGUGAUUCUCUUUCUUGACCCUCACUUUGACAUUUUCUUACAUUUUUGCUAAAUCAUCUCUUAUAUAUCUGGUUAUGUGGAUGCCUUGGAGGGACAACGAUCCCAUUUUCUCUACUAAGGAGGAGAGGGCUCGUUAGGUCUUUGCACGCGUGUCUCGAAUCUUUGGAAGGGCUGGAUUGGGGUCAGUGUACCUUUUUGAGCGAGUGGCUCUUCAGCUUGAGCCUAUGGAUGAGCCUCGAGUUCCUGUGAGUCCUCCUCCCUUCAUGUUGGCCCUAGAGAGCAUAACAGGUGAGGAUCUAUACCAUUGGGAGGAUAAGAUCUACUUCUCAGAGUGAUUACUGGGUAAGGAGGUAGACUACGACCUAUUCAAUGAGAGCCAACUUACCACAGGGCGGUCCCAGUGGAGGAGCCUACUGUCCCUUCAGUUAAUGCUGCACCUGCUGGCGGGAACCUUGUGAGUCCAGUAUUCCCCUCAUACAAGGUUUAUGCCUGUGGUCUAGAUGGGGUUGCUGGGGAAUGUGCUCUUGCACGUAAUCCUAAUGUGAUAGGCUAUCCUAUUGCUAGGGAGCCCGAGAUCCUACCCGUGCAAAGUACGAGGAGCUGAUCUUGUUGGCCGGGAAUCUUAAGCUAGAGGUGGCCAACUACUCACAGAGCAUCUAUCUCACUAAUGGCUAUUUCUGGAGGGCUAGUGGCAGCAACAUACGGGGUGGCCAUGAUGAUGAUGAAGGUUUGUGCAAAGAAUAAUGGGCCAGGCCCAGCUCUCUGACUCACAGCAAAAUGGGCCCUAGCCCAGCAAAACAGGCUUUAGCCCAUUGAUGAAAAAAAAAAAACACCUGCAACAACCAAGCAAAGCUAUGUGAAAAAGAGAGAGAAAAGAAAUAAAAUAGACAAAAGAGUGCAAUAAAUUCAUGUCGCCAGUGAAAGGAAAAAAUGUGUGUGUGAGAGCAAAGCAGACAAUAAAAUUUUCUUUAACUAUGAGACAUAAAUGAGAAGAUUAAUUUAGGGGAGAAGAUUUUGGGUAUUGCCACUAAAAAGAGUUAUUGUAUUCCAGUGGGUGAAGA
Long non-coding RNA from Quercus lobata, 1645 nucleotides. RefSeq lists it as uncharacterized. The record is from RefSeq and is a predicted model, not a curated record. Lineage: Eukaryota; Viridiplantae; Streptophyta; Magnoliopsida; Fagales; Fagaceae. The transcript has 5 exons.